Long non-coding RNA from Contarinia nasturtii (swede midge), 494 nucleotides. RefSeq lists it as uncharacterized. NCBI's taxonomy places the organism in Eukaryota, Metazoa, Arthropoda, Insecta, Diptera, Cecidomyiidae. The record is from RefSeq and is a predicted model, not a curated record. The transcript has 2 exons.
UCUUUGACUGUGUAUAGCUGUGAGCAAACACAUGCAUUAGGUGCACAACAGUUCGCAGUGAACUCAACGGCUGAUAUUCCGUAAAGCAGCGAUGAUGUGCCGAGUAUACACAAAGCGUGAAUUGUUCUAAUACGCGUUACUGAAGUCGUAUUGGCAUUAAACAACCAUUAGGUAUUAAAUAAACAACCAAUAUAAAUGUGUAUGGAAAGGGGAAUAGAACUAUGAAUAGUAAUGCAUUUUUAAGAUGAAAAGCAAUCAAGAUUCUUAGUUUUUUUUCUAAUUUUGUGUUGAUCCAUUUAAUAUAACCGUCGGAGUUUAUGUUUGUAGAAUGACGCAAAGCACAUGAUGCAAGUAGACGACGCAAUUUAAAGCGACCUUUCAUAGAAGUAUACAUCAUAUCUUGAUCCGUCUUGAUUCGCAUUUUGGAGGAAAAACAAAAACAAAUCAUGUACGAAUAGAAAAAUUUCAAUAAAGUUGUCAAAUUCAAACUUCAA